CCCAGGGGUCCCAACCAAGCCGGGCACUCGGUGGCUUCCCCACACGGCUAUGGCCACCAAGCUGCCUGGAUGCCAACAAAUGCCCGUACAAGCUGCCAGCACAGUCAUCUGAACAGGGAGGGGUUGGAGCUGGAAACUCCACACCCAACCCAUGAACUGGCCGUGGCUCCCAGUCCUUCCCAACGUAGCGGAGUGGUUUGCACAGCACUGGAGCUCGAUGCGCCACGAGCAGUGAGACCCCCUGCGGGACCCUCUGCAGGACGGGCUGCUCCAGCGGCUGCGUGCACCUCCAGCCCCGUGCCGGAGCCAGGACAGCGGGAUGAUGCACGGCGCUGCCCUGCUACCGCUGUGUCAGCGGGGUCGCACCGCCCAGCCGGACACUCGCUGCCCGCUGCCGUGCCCCACAACGACGCUGACAGAGGCGAACGGGAUGGAGAGGGUCCAGGAGCCCCCCGAACCGGCAGCGGAGCCCCGCUCCCGGUCCAAGUUCAGCACCAGCCCUCAGCCAGCACCGGCGGGCUCGGGACGGAUGGGACCAAAGCGGAGGACGAGCCGGUAACGGCGCCGGGACUCGGGGCCGCCCCCGCCCCCGCCCCAGGCACCUGCCGGCAGGACGGGACGGGACGGGGCGCGGCGCGUCAGCUCCCGUCGGGCGCGGCUGCCCCGUUCCCCCCGCCCCGAGCGCUCUUACCGUGAGCGGCGUCGCCGCCGGCGAGGCUGCAGAGGACGAGCAGGCAGAGCGCCAGCCGGAGCGGCAUGGCCGGGCCGGGCCGGGCCGGGCGGCGGCGGCGGGACGGGACGCGGCCGGGACGCUCCGGGACCUGUUGGCUGCAGAGUGAGCCCCCCGACCCCAUCUGGACCUUCAGAACCCUGCUGGGUCUGUGCCGUGUGGCUCCUUUCAGCUUUGCUUCCCAAGCAGCCGUGCAGCUCCACAGCCCGGCAUCACCCACGCUGUGCCGUUAGGGAAACUGAGGCAUGAUCUUCCUGCCCUUCCGCCAGCCUGCCGUGCUGCUCCCAGCUCUGCUCCCUGCUGCAGCAUCCCUGGUGUGCUGCACGGAGCCCUGCGUGCUGCUCCCACGCUGCUGCCAAGCACCUCUCCGCCCAGCCUCGUCUCGCAGCCCCCCAGCCCGCCUUGCUGCUCUUUGCCACCACUCAUUUGGUGCCUUUGGUGUGUCAUAAAAGCACUCCUAUCACAGGCAAUUGGAUUUAAUUAUUCGGGCAAGGAUUCACAAGGUGCUGUGUCAAAUGCUUAAUUAAAGCCUCGAUCUGUGCUGCUGCCUGCACCCCGCGGUGCGCGCUGGCAGCGAUGCGCUCAGCACACUCUCUGGCUGCAGUUGGAUGUGAGCUGUCUGCUCCAGCUCUGUGACCCCAGGAGCUCUGCCCUGGCUGGGAAUGCCCAAGGAGGGACCCAUUCUGCUUUCUCAUUGUGCCCAACGUUACACCAAAGCACAGCAGAGCUGCAGGGCAGCACCCACAGCUCCGCACCCGUAGUUCUGUUCUGUGCUGCCCCGGUGCUCUUCAUGGCUUUGUCCUGAUGCCUUUUUCCUUCCAGCAGGGGAAGAAAAGGAGCGGGGUUGGAAAUGGCUUGGCUUUAGGGUCUCUCCCAGCCCCAGCUAUUCUGUGAUUCUGUGGGAGGUGGAAGAGGGAGCGUGGGGGGAGCAGGCAGAGGGAAGGCAGUAGGAGCCUGUCCCACAGCCCCGCACAGCCAAUGGGAAGGGGCUGUGUGCAACGGAGUGCAUUUCCCUCUGAGUGAAAGAACAGAUGUCUCUUGUCUAUGGCCUGCAGUUGGCUCUGGUUUUCAUCUCUCCUGUCUAUGCACACGCAGAUUUAUAGCUGCCUUAAUUAGUUCCUUACAAAACAAUCUUGUUGCCCGCAUGUCUGUCUGAGCCCCGGGAGGUACGACGGGUGGGAGGCCGGGGCAACGUGGGGUGGCACAGCCAUUCAGCAGCCCUGGCUGCCUGCACGAGCUCAGGUCACCUGCUGGGGCCAGGGGAUGCUCCUGCCACCGCCCUGCGUGGCUCCAGUGAGCACAAUGGGUUUCACCUCCUGCUGCAUGCAGGGGAUGCCUCUGUGAUGAAACAGAGCAGGCACUCAGCUGCACGCAUGCACAAAGCCACUCCAGCACGGAUGCACAAAGCCACCUGUGCACAUGUGCAGCUGUUCCCUUGCACGCUUUGCUCUCUCCGUGCCUUGACCUGCACGGCCUGGCCGUGCUGUCCCCAGGUCCCCAUGCACGGAGCUGCACGGUGACACACUUCUCUGAGCACCUUUCACAGGCACGCCGUGUACACAAGCCGUGACUCAGCUGCCCCUGUGGUUUCCCCAGUGGAAAUGCUUCGUCCGCCGCUGUGGAAAGAGCAAAGAUUGCCUGCAGGGAAGAGCCAACAGCUCCAUAAAACGUCACGGAGCCGUGCGGGUCUGAAUGGGGUGUAGGGGAGAUAGAUGGGAUCAAUGCUUCCCAGCCCAAAGUGGGAGGUGUGCAUGCACUGUGGGCAGCUGAGUGCAGAGCCAUCGCGGGUCCCACACCUCCCGCAGAGCCCCAUCCACCCCACAGCUCCCUUCAGACAAGAAAACUGACUGCUCACAUAGCCCAGGCUCGCAGUUAGUAGAAAAACAUGUUUUUCGCAUUAAAAUUUCCCUUGAAAAACAAUGGUUUAAAUUAAGCAUAGGAAAAGAAAAGCAAAGAAUCGAAAAAGGGGGAGGAGAGGAGAGGGGGGGUGGGGGGAAUAUUAAAACAAAAAGGGAAAUUUGGGGUGGAGCCCAGAAGCAGCGCCGUGAGAGCUGCAGCUUUGCCCCAUCCCAAGGAGCUCCUGCAAGCAGGUGGGGUCCUGGGGACUGAGCAGCACUGAAUGUGGUUGGGGGAGAUGCUGGAGGCUGCACUGCAGUGCAGAGCUCAGCCCCAGACGGGCCAGGGAGGGUGAGGUGGGGGGGGAUGCAAAUCGUCUGAUCUGUCUGUGAGGGAAUUCAAAAGGAGGCCGAUUCAAAUCCGUCGUGACACGAAUGGGUUGGGGCUGGCAGACGAUCCCUGCGGUGGUUGUUAACAAAUCUCACCGCUUUCCUUUGAGUGGCCUCCAAUAUAUUAAUUAAAAUAAGCAAUUAUACACAAUCUGGGUGGAGAGGAGCGGGGAGACCAGCUGCACCAGUUCUUCUCCCUUGGCAGGAAGGGUGCAGGAAGGCACUGGGGCUCGGGGAGCUCUAUGAGAGCGGGGCUGGGCUGUGCCCACAGCUGCCUGCAGGUCCCCAGACUGACACAGAUGGGUGAGGAGAGUUGGGCAGCAGGGAUCGCCUUCCAGCAACCACUUUGUAUGAGAAGACAGGGGCCCAGAGGCUAAGUCCUUAUAGAAAAUGACUUGCCCGUGUCAUGGGGGAGGUGGGAGCAGAGAGGGAAACCAAGCACAAAGCCGCCCAGGAUCUGCUGGUUUGUGUUGCUUGCCCUUUCCAGAAGGUCCACAUCCACCCCCAGUGAUGGGGAAUGCUGUGAGCAGGAGACCUCCCCCCCUCCUCCCCCCCACAACAAACAACAGGGGAUGGGGCAGGCAGAGAGGGAAUACCAGGGGAAACACAUCUGCACGGUGCAACGUCUGUGCAGAACGACAGCCACAUGUCUGGGCUUUAUCUCAGCGCAGCACAUCUCGUGUCAGCAAAUCCCUCAGUCACAGGGUUUUAUCCCCGGCCUGCAGUUUGUUCAUGAGAGAAGUUCCUGCCUGCGGGGCACGCUCGUGCCAAGAGACCCUGGUGCUGGGGAUCCUCGCCCCGCUGACACCCUCAGUGCAAUGGGCACAGGACCCAGCGCCACACGUGUGCACGCCUGCAUGCAUACACAGGC
RNAcentral lists this long non-coding RNA (3826 nucleotides) under Gallus gallus (chicken). Lineage: Eukaryota; Metazoa; Chordata; Aves; Galliformes; Phasianidae. The record is from RNAcentral.